Molecule: long non-coding RNA, 541 nt
Filed under: Elaeis guineensis (African oil palm)
Lineage: Eukaryota; Viridiplantae; Streptophyta; Magnoliopsida; Arecales; Arecaceae
Description: long non-coding RNA (EGUI_LNC040965)
Source: RNAcentral
UAAAAGGUCCCGGACGAUCGAGGUAAGUGAAUUUUAAGCUCCUUAUUUAUUUUGAAAUGAUCAUGCUUUUAUGUAAAGAAUUGCUAUUGAUAAAAUCAUAAUUUUUCAUAAAAUAAGGAUCGGCAUAUGUGAUAUGAAAAAGCAUGUUUUAUUAUGAGCAUUGAUUUCAUGAAUAUGUCUUAUAAAAAUGGCAGGAUUAUGAAUUUCAUUAUUUUUCUAUUUAUGUAUAUGUAUGUUUUAAGAAAAAAAAAGAUAAAAAUGAUUUCAAAGGCUCUCAGAUAGCUAUGAAUGAAUCUCUUCGGGAAGUUCGACAUCCGGAGCUAGCAUCCACACGAAACAUGGCCCUGCCAGCAGGUAUAAAGUUGGCACAUGAAUUAAGAACUAUGUCGAUUAAGAAACAUGACCCUGUCAUAGGUAUAAUAGUGAUCUUAGCACGAAUAUCUGUGAGCAAUGAUUUGAAACAUGACAUGAAUACAUGAUGAAAAUGAUUUACGAUUCAUAAUUGUGAAAUAUACAUGACUUAUGCAUGCAUGAUGAGCUU